UUACUCCUACGGGAGGCAGCAGUAAGGAAUAUUGGUCAAUGGGAGAAAUCCUGAACCAGCAACGCCGCGUGAAGGAUGAAGGGCUUUUGCUCGUAAACUUCUUUUUUGAGGGAAAAAUAUACGAUUUUAUCGUGUUGAUUGUACCUUAAGAAUAAGCCCCGGCUAACUACGUGCCAGCAGCCGCGGUAAUAA
RNAcentral lists this ribosomal RNA (192 nucleotides) under uncultured Planctomycetota bacterium. RNAcentral's name for it is "uncultured planctomycete partial 16S ribosomal RNA". It matches the Rfam family "Bacterial small subunit ribosomal RNA", at positions 333 to 526 of the family's 1533-position model. The record is from RNAcentral. Lineage: Bacteria; Pseudomonadati; Planctomycetota.